CAACUGGGAGGGACUGGGAGGGACUGGGAGGGGCAGGAGGUGGGACUGGGGGAGAAGGGGAGGGACUGGGAGCAACUGGGAGGGACUGGGAGGGAAUGGGAGGGGAAAGAGGUGGGACUGGGAGGGAAUGGGAGGAACUGGGAGGGAAUGGGAGGGAAUGGGAGGGGGGGAGGUAGGACUGGGAGGGAAUGGGACAGACUGGGAGGUGAUACUGGGAGGGACUGGGAGGGGAAGGAGGUGGGACUGGGACGGACUGGGAGGGACUGGGAGAGACUGGGAGGGAAUGGGAGGGGGAGGAGGUGAUACUGGGAGGGACUGGGAGCAACUGGGAGGGACUGGGAAGGACUGGGAGUAACUGGGAGGGACUGGGAGGGAUUGGGACGGUCUGGGAGGGGGGGGAGGUGGGACUGGGAGGGAAUGGGAUGAACUGGGACGGACUGGGAGGGGAAGGAGGUGGGACUGGGAGGGAAUGGGAGGGACUGGGAGGGACUGGGAGGGGAUGGGAGGUCAGAUGGGGUCAUACUGGGAGGAACUGGGAGAGAAUGGGAGGGACUGGGAGGGGAUGGGACUGGGAGGGAACUGGGAGGGACUGGGACUGGGAGCAACUGGGAGGGGAAGGAGGUGGGACUGGGAGGGACUGGGAGGGGGAGGAGGUGGGACUGGGAGGGACUGGGAGGUGAUACUGGGAGGGACUGGGAGCAACUGGGAGGGACUAGGACAGGCUGGGAGGGACUGGGAGAGGGAAUGGGGGCAACUGGAAGAGACUGGGAGGGACUGGAAGAGACUGGGAGGGACUGGGAGAGACUGGGAGGGGAAGGAGGUGGGACUGGGACGGACUGGGACGGACUGGGAUGGACUGGGAUGGACUGGGACGGACUGGGAGGUGGGACGGGGUUAUACUGGGAGGGACUGGGAGAGAACUGGGAGGGACUGGGUCGUACUGGGAGGCGGCCCUUGGUUAUGCUGGGCUGUACUGGGCUGUACUGGGCCACAUUGGGUCACACUGGGCCUUACUGGGUCAUACUGGGAAGCGCUCCUGGGUCAUACUGGUCCAUACUGGUCCAUACUGGUCCAUACUGGUCUGUACUGGUCCAUACUGGUCCGUACUGGCCCAUACUGGGAUCCCCUUCCCCCCUCCCAGUGCUCCCAGUGCUGGAGCAGGUCCUGGUGCCUUAUACUGGUCUGUACUGGUCCAUAUCUCCCCGUAUCUGCCCACACUUGUCCAUACUGGUCUAUACUUGUCCAUACUGGUCUAUACUUGUCCAUACUGGUCUAUACUUGUCCAUACUGGUCCGUACUGGUCCAUACUGGGAUCCCGUUGCCCCCUCCCAGUGCUCCCAGUGCUGGAGCGGGUCCUGGUGCNNNNNNNNNNNNNNNNNNNNNNNNNNNNNNNNNNNNNNNNNNNNNNNNNNNNNNNNNNNNCCAGGUUGUGGGUCCCGCCCCCUAACCCCUGCCCCAUAGCGGACAAGCUGUGGUGCACGUCGGGCUGCGCCAACUCCCAGGUUGUGGGUCCCAGGCUGGAGUUGUGGGUCCCAGGUUGUGGGUCCCGCCCCCUAACCCCUGCCCCAUAGCGGACGAGCCGUGGCGCACGUCGGGCCGCGCCAACUUCUUGAUGUCCCAGUCUGUGGGUCCCAGGCUGGACUUGUGGGUCCCAGGUUGUGGGUCCCAGGUUGUGGGUCCCAGGCUGGAGUUAUGGGUCCCAGUCUGUGGGUCCCAGGUUGUGGGUCCCAGGCUGGAGUUGUGGGUCCUGCCCCCUAUCCCUGCCCCAUAGCGGACGAGCCGUGGCGCACGUCGGGCUGGGCCAACUCCUUGAUGUCCCAGUCUGUAGGUCCUGGUCUGUGGGUCCCAGGCUGGAGUUGUGGGUCCCAGGUUGUGGGUCCCGGGCUGUGGGUCCCAGGUUGUGGGUCCCGCCCCCUAACCCCUGCCCCAUAGCGGACGAGCCGUGACCCCAGGUUGUGGGUCACCCCCUAACCCCUGCCCCAUAGUGGACAAGCUGUGGCGCAUGUCGGGCCGGGCCAACUCCUCCAUGUACCAGGUUGUGGGUCCCAGUCUAUGGGUCCCAGUAUGGGGUUGUGGGUCCCAGGUUGUGGGUCCCGCCCCCUAACCCCUGCCCCAUAGCGGAUGAGCCGUGGCGCACGUCGGGCCGCGCCAACUCCUUGAUGUCCCAGGUUGUGGGUCCCAGUCUGUAGGUCCCAGUCUAUGGGUCCCAGUAUGGGGUUGUGGGUCCCAGCCUGGACUUGUGGGUCUGUGGGUCACCCCCUUAACCCGUGCCCCAUAGCGGACAGGUGCCAGGUUGUGAGUCCCAGGCUGUGGGUCCCAGUCUAUAGAUCCCAGACUGGAGUUGUGGGUCCCAGUCUAUGGAUCCCAGUCUGGACUUGUGGGUCCCAGGUUGUGGGUCCCAGGUUGUGGGUCCCGCCCCCUAACCCCGUGCCCCAUAGCGGACGAGC
Molecule: long non-coding RNA, 2447 nt
Filed under: Numida meleagris (helmeted guineafowl)
Lineage: Eukaryota; Metazoa; Chordata; Aves; Galliformes; Numididae
Description: lncRNA (ENSNMEG00000001533.1)
Source: RNAcentral